AUCAUGUAGUAAGCAAAAAGUGUUAGUGGCCCUGUAGUUCACCUCCUUCACCAAAGCUCUGUCAGGGACCUACAUGAAGAGUGCCAUCACUCAGAGAGACACUUUGACCUGUCCAGCUCUCUCAUCGGACUCAUAGACAGCAGCUUUGAGAUGGGUUUCAACAAUAACAUUGAGUUGCUUGAGAAUUCAUGUAGUAAAAACCAGAUACAGACUACAGUAACCUGCUGUUCCUGGCUGUGGUCAGCCAUUUUGGGACGAAGCUGCACCGGCCCAGGUUCAUUGCUAUGGGCUGUUUCCUCAUGGCUGUAGGAUCCUUCCUCACAGGCCUGCCACACUUCUUCAUGGGACGGGCUAUCAGGAGAGCCACCCAAUCCCAGAGGGCCAUCGUGGCUUCAUCAGUGAUGCCAGACUUCUGCAGAUGCAGAGAGCUGAGAGAGAAGCCAUGGAAGCAAAGCAAAGAAAGAUAAGUGCUAUCCAUGAGAAUUAUGUCCGGACUGCUCUCAUCGGGGUUGGCAGCACCUUCGCGCACCACUUCGUCCCCUCUAUUCAGUGCAUUCCGCGGCCGAAAGCUCCACCAAGGCCUUUGCCACGAAGGCUUGAACACAUAGCUCUGGCCCCACUGAAGAACGUGGUGGGGGUGGACGGAGCCCAAGUUCGACCCGGAUCUAAACU
Oncorhynchus kisutch (coho salmon) is the source of this 672-nucleotide long non-coding RNA. RefSeq lists it as uncharacterized. Lineage: Eukaryota; Metazoa; Chordata; Actinopteri; Salmoniformes; Salmonidae. The record is from RefSeq and is a predicted model, not a curated record. The transcript has 3 exons.